GACGAACGCUGGCGGCGUGCUUAACACAUGCAAGUUGAACGAGAAUUUUUCGAGUGAUUUCUUCGGAAUGAUCAUGAAAACGGAAAGUAGCGAACGGGUGAGUAACACGUGAGAAACCUGCCUUUCACAAAGGGAUAGCCUCGGGAAACCGGGAUUAAUACCUUAUGAAACCAAACACUCGCAUGAGAGAUUGGUUAAAGAUUUAUCGGUGUUAGAUGGUCUCGCGUCUGAUUAGCUAGUUGGUGGGAUAAAAGCCUACCAAGGCAACGAUCAGUAGCCGGAGUGAGAGGGUGAACGGCCACACUGGAACUGAGACACGGUCCAGACUCCUACGGGAGGCAGCAGUGGGGAAUUUUGCACAAUGGAGGAAACUCUGAUGCAGCGACGCCGCGUGAGUGAUGAAGGUGUUCGGAUUGUAAAACUCUGUCCUUAGUGAAGAUAAUGACAGUAACUAAGAAGCAAGCCCUGGCUAAAUACGUG
Molecule: ribosomal RNA, 480 nt
Filed under: uncultured bacterium
Lineage: Bacteria
Description: partial 16S ribosomal RNA
Rfam family: Bacterial small subunit ribosomal RNA
Source: RNAcentral